This 287-nucleotide ribosomal RNA is filed under the name Fusarium sp. SS-R6. RNAcentral's name for it is "partial 28S ribosomal RNA". It matches the Rfam family "Eukaryotic large subunit ribosomal RNA", at positions 1 to 303 of the family's 3401-position model. Lineage: Eukaryota; Fungi; Ascomycota; Sordariomycetes; Hypocreales; Nectriaceae. The record is from RNAcentral.
GUUGACCUCGGAUCAGGUAGGAAUACCCGCUGAACUUAAGCAUAUCAAUAAGCGGAGGAAAAGAAACCAACAGGGAUUGCCCUAGUAACGGCGAGUGAAGCGGCAACAGCUCAAAUUUGAAAUCUGGCUUUCGGGCCCGAGUUGUAAUUUGUAGAGGAUACUUUUGAUGCGGUGCCUUCCGAGUUCCCUGGAACGGGACGCCAUACAGGGUGAGAGCCCCGUCUGGUUGGAUGCCAAAUCUCUGUAAGUUCCUUCGACGAGUCGAGUGUUGGUAAAUAGGAGAAGGA